UAAGCCUGUGAAGGUGUGUCGUGAGGCAUGCUGGAGGUAUCAGAAGUGCGAAUGCUGACAUAAGUAACGAUAAAGCGGGUGAAAAGCCCGCUCGCCGGAAGACCAAGGGUUCCUGUCCAACGUUAAUCGGGGCAGGGUGAGUCGACCCCUAAGGCGAGGCCGAAAGGCGUAGUCGAUGGGAAACGGGUUAAUAUUCCCGUACUUGGUGUUACUGCGAAGGGGGGACGGAGAAGGCUAUGUUGGCCGGGCGACGGUUGUCCCGGUUUAAGCGUGUAGGUGUGUGUUCCAGGUAAAUCCGGUUCACUUUAACACUGAGGCGUGACGACGAGGCACUACGGUGCUGAAGCAACAAAUGCCCUGCUUCCAGGAAAAGCCUCUAAGCAUCAGGUAACAUCAAAUCGUACCCCAAACCGACACAGGUGGUCAGGUAGAGAAUACCAAGGCGCUUGAGAGAACUCGGGUGAAGGAACUAGGCAAAAUGGUGCCGUAACUUCGGGAGAAGGCACGCUGACACGUAGGUGAAGUGAUUUACUCAUGGAGCUGAAGUCAGUCGAAGAUACCAGCUGGCUGCAACUGUUUAUUAAAAACACAGCACUGUGCAAACACGAAAGUGGACGUAUACGGUGUGACGCCUGCCCGGUGCCGGAAGGUUAAUUGAUGGGGUCAGCGCAAGCGAAGCUCCUGAUCGAAGCCCCGGUAAACGGCGGCCGUAACUAUAACGGUCCUAAGGUAGCGAAAUUCCUUGUCGGGUAAGUUCCGACCUGCACGAAUGGCGUAAUGAUGGCCAGGCUGUCUCCACCCGAGACUCAGUGAAAUUGAACUCGCUGUGAAGAUGCAGUGUACCCGCGGCAAGACGGAAAGACCCCGUGAACCUUUACUAUAGCUUGACACUGAACAUUGAGCCUUGAUGUGUAGGAUAGGUGGGAGGCUUUGAAGUGUGGACGCCAGUCUGCAUGGAGCCGACCUUGAAAUACCACCCUUUAAUGUUUGAUGUUCUAACGUGGACCCGUGAUCCGGGUUGCGGACAGUGUCUGGUGGGUAGUUUGACUGGGGCGGUCUCCUCCUAAAGAGUAACGGAGGAGCACGAAGGUUGGCUAAUCCUGGUCGGACAUCAGGAGGUUAGUGCAAUGGCAUAAGCCAGCUUGACUGCGAGCGUGACGGCGCGAGCAGGUGCGAAAGCAGGUCAUAGUGAUCCGGUGGUUCUGAAUGGAAGGGCCAUCGCUCAACGGAUAAAAGGUACUCCGGGGAUAACAGGCUGAUACCGCCCAAGAGUUCAUAUCGACGGCGGUGUUUGGCACCUC
RNAcentral lists this ribosomal RNA (1301 nucleotides) under Salmonella enterica. RNAcentral's name for it is "partial 23S ribosomal RNA". It matches the Rfam family "Bacterial large subunit ribosomal RNA", at positions 1243 to 2527 of the family's 2925-position model. The record is from RNAcentral. Lineage: Bacteria; Pseudomonadati; Pseudomonadota; Gammaproteobacteria; Enterobacterales; Enterobacteriaceae.